AUCUGGCCUCAAAUCAGGUAGGACUACCCGCUGAACUUAAGCAUAUCAAUAAGCG
This 55-nucleotide ribosomal RNA is filed under the name Naganishia diffluens. RNAcentral describes it as "partial 28S ribosomal RNA". The record is from RNAcentral. Lineage: Eukaryota; Fungi; Basidiomycota; Tremellomycetes; Filobasidiales; Filobasidiaceae.